RNAcentral lists this ribosomal RNA (373 nucleotides) under Bacillus sp. Ru63. Its description in RNAcentral is "bacterial LSU rRNA". It matches the Rfam family "Bacterial large subunit ribosomal RNA", at positions 2059 to 2431 of the family's 2925-position model. Lineage: Bacteria; Bacillati; Bacillota; Bacilli; Caryophanales; Bacillaceae. The record is from RNAcentral.
AUGCAGGUUACCCGCGACAGGACGGAAAGACCCCGUGGAGCUUUACUGCAGCCUGAUAUUGAAUGUUGGUACAGCUUGUACAGGAUAGGUAGGAGCCUUGGAAACCGGAGCGCCAGCUUCGGUGGAGGCAUCGGUGGGAUACUACCCUGGCUGUAUUGACCUUCUAACCCGCCGCCCUUAUCGGGCGGGGAGACAGUGUCAGGUGGGCAGUUUGACUGGGGCGGUCGCCUCCUAAAAGGUAACGGAGGCGCCCAAAGGUUCCCUCAGAAUGGUUGGAAAUCAUUCGCAGAGUGUAAAGGCACAAGGGAGCUUGACUGCGAGACCUACAAGUCGAGCAGGGACGAAAGUCGGGCUUAGUGAUCCGGUGGUUCCG